CUUUCCGGAUGCACUGUAGAUUGCCAAUAGUUGUAGAGUUGGUUAGAUGGAUGGAUGGAUAGAUAGAUAGAUAGCCAAUAGUUGUAGAGUUGAAUAGAUAGAUAGAUAGAUAGAUAGAUGUAGGCAUAUAGAUAGAGUGCCAAUAGUUGUAGAAUUAGAUAGAUAUACAGAUAGAUAGAUAGAUAGAUAGAUAGAGUGCCAAUAGUUGUAGAGUUGAAUAGAAAGAUAGAUUGCCAAUAGUUGUAGCAUUACAUAGAUAAAUAGAUAGAUAGACAUACAGAUAGAUAGAUAGAUAGAUAGAUGUAGGCAUAUAGAUAGAGUGCCAAUAGUUGUAGAGUUAGAUAGAUAGAUAGAUAGAUAUACAGAUAGAUAGAGUGCCAAUAGUUGUAGAGUUAGAUAGAUAGAUAUACAGAUAGAGUGCCAAUAGUUGUAGAGUUGAAUAGAAAGAUUGAUUGCCAAUAGUUAUAGCAUUAAAUAGAUAAAUACAUAUACAGACAGAUAGAUAGCUAGAUAGAUAGAUGUAGGCAUAUAGAUAGAUACCCAAUAGUUGUAAAGUUGAAUAGAUAGAUAGAUGUAGACAUAUAGAUAGUGUCAAUAAUUGUAGAUUUGCAAAGAUAGAUAAAUAGACAGAUAGCUUGCCAAUAGUUGUAGUGUUAGAUAGAUAGAUAGAUAGAUAGAUAGAGAUAGAUAGGUGAUAAUUGAAGCAUUAGAUAGAUAGACAGAUAGAUGUAGACAUAUAGAUAGAGUGCCAAUAGUUGUAGAAUUGGAUAGAUAGAUAGAUAGAUAGAUAGAUAGAUAGAUAGAUAGAUAGAUAGACAGAUAGAUAGGUGAUAAUUGUAGCAUUAGAUAGAUAGAUAGAUAGAUAGAUAGAUAGAUAGAUAGAUAGAUAGAUAGAUAGAUAGAUAGAAAGACAGAUAGAUACAGUGCUAAUAGUUGUAGAGUUGGAUAGAUAGAUUGCCAAUAGUUGUAGCAUUACAUAGAUAAAUAGAUAGAUAUACAGAUAGAUAGAUAGAUAGAUAGAUAGAUAGAUAGAUAGAUAGAUAGAUUGAUUGAUGGAUAGAUGGAUAAAUAGAUAGAUAGCCAAUAGUUGUAGAGUUGAACAGAUAGACAGAUAGAUAGAUAGAUAGGCAAUAGUUGUAGAGUUAGAUACAUACAUAGAUAGACAGACUGAUAGAUAGAUAGAUAGAUAGAUAGAUAGAGUGCUAAUCGUUGUAGAGUCUAACAUCCACCAGCUCCGUGAUGUCGUCAUGGAGGAGUGGAAGAGGACUCCAGUGGAAACCUGUGAAGCUCUGGUGAACUCCAUGCUCAAGAGGGUUAAGGCAGUGCUGGAAAAUAAUGGUGGCCACACAAAAUACUGACACUUUGGGCCCAAUUUGGACAUUUUCACUUAAAGGUGUACUCACUUUUGUUGCCAGCGGUUUAGCCAUUAAUGGCUGUGUGUUGAGUUAUU
Molecule: long non-coding RNA, 1450 nt
Organism: Ictalurus punctatus (channel catfish)
Lineage: Eukaryota; Metazoa; Chordata; Actinopteri; Siluriformes; Ictaluridae
Source: Ensembl